GGGGACGUAGCUCAACUGGCAGAGCACCGCCCUUGCAAGGCGGGGGUUGUGGGUUCGAGUCCCAUCGUCUCCA
This 73-nucleotide transfer RNA is filed under the name Actinomycetota bacterium. RNAcentral's name for it is "tRNA-Ala". It matches the Rfam family "tRNA". Rfam says of the family: Transfer RNA (tRNA) molecules are approximately 80 nucleotides in length. Their secondary structure includes four short double-helical elements and three loops (D, anti-codon, and T loops). Lineage: Bacteria; Bacillati; Actinomycetota. The record is from RNAcentral.